This 88-nucleotide transfer RNA is filed under the name Desulfovibrionales bacterium. Its description in RNAcentral is "tRNA-Leu". It matches the Rfam family "tRNA". From Rfam's summary of the family: Transfer RNA (tRNA) molecules are approximately 80 nucleotides in length. Their secondary structure includes four short double-helical elements and three loops (D, anti-codon, and T loops). Lineage: Bacteria; Pseudomonadati; Thermodesulfobacteriota; Desulfovibrionia; Desulfovibrionales. The record is from RNAcentral.
GCCUGGGUGGCGGAAUUGGUAGACGCCAGGGAUUUAAAAUCCCUUGUAUCUUAGAUACGUGCGGGUUCGAUUCCCGCCCUGGGCACCA